GACGAACGCUGGCGGCGUGCUUAACACAUGCAAGUCGAGCGGUAAGGCCCCUUCGGGGGUACACGAGCGGCGAACGGGUGAGUAACACGUGAGCAAUCUGCCCUUCACACGGGGAUAACUUCGGGAAACCGGAGCUAAUACCCGAUACGACCACCUCGGGCAUCCGAUGGUGGUGGAAAGCUCCGGCGGUGAAGGAUGAGCUCGCGGCCUAUCAGCUUGUUGGUGGGGUAACGGCCCACCAAGGCAACGACGGGUAGCCGGCCUGGGAGGGUGACCGGCCACACUGGGACUGAGACACGUCCCAGACUCCUACGGGAGGCAGCAGUGGGGAAUAUUGGACAAUGGGCGAAAGCCUGAUCCAGCAACGCCGCGUGAGGGAUGACGGCCUUCGGGUUGUAAACCUCUUUCAGCAGGGACGAAGCACAAGUGACGGUACCUGCAGAAGAAGCACCGGCCAACUACGUGCCAGCCGCCGCGGUAA
This 481-nucleotide ribosomal RNA is filed under the name uncultured bacterium. RNAcentral's name for it is "partial 16S ribosomal RNA". It matches the Rfam family "Bacterial small subunit ribosomal RNA", at positions 28 to 523 of the family's 1533-position model. The record is from RNAcentral.